AGCGGCGCUGGAACAGGUCGCAGUAGAUCGCCGCCAGCUCGGGGCUGCUGAAAUCACUGACCGGGCGUACAACUCCGCCCGCCUCUUCCA
This 90-nucleotide transfer RNA is filed under the name Pseudomonas sp. Boi14. RNAcentral's name for it is "tRNA-Pro". The record is from RNAcentral. Lineage: Bacteria; Pseudomonadati; Pseudomonadota; Gammaproteobacteria; Pseudomonadales; Pseudomonadaceae.